This is a long non-coding RNA of Mirounga angustirostris (Northern elephant seal), 514 nucleotides long. RefSeq lists it as uncharacterized. Lineage: Eukaryota; Metazoa; Chordata; Mammalia; Carnivora; Phocidae. The transcript is spliced from 3 exons. The record is from RefSeq and is a predicted model, not a curated record.
AACGAUGCAUGACUUGACUCUUCCAACAUCCUGUCAUCAACGUUUCUAAGACCCUAGAAGGAAAGAGAGAAAAGGAUGAGAGGAAAGAAGCCUGCUCUGUCACAAUCAACUAUGUGGUAAAUGGAAGAGGCAGCAUCCAGCUUAAUACAAGGAAGAACUUUCAACUACUGGAAAACCCAAAGAUGGAUGUCUGGUGGUAGGGAGCUCCACAACACUGGAGGACUUGAAGGAAAUAUUCUGUUCAGCUUCAGAAACAGAGACAACUGGCCUUUCCUACCUGUGGACACCCACAACGUUCCAGCUCCUGUGUUUGCACGCCAGGUGGGAGGCCCGGAGUGGUACGAGUGUUGAACAUACUAGAGAUUCUACCUGCUAAGUGUAGUACGUUCCUAACUCCUGUUUGGUAUUCCUCUGGUUUUGAUUGAUGCAUUUUUCUUCUUUGUUACUAUACAUCUUAUAAGCCACCUCAAUCUCUUGGGACACAGGUGUAUAAAUAUGUAAUAUGUACCUGACU